This 301-nucleotide ribosomal RNA is filed under the name uncultured bacterium. RNAcentral's name for it is "partial 16S ribosomal RNA". It matches the Rfam family "Bacterial small subunit ribosomal RNA", at positions 509 to 807 of the family's 1533-position model. The record is from RNAcentral.
CAGUAGCCACGGUAAUGCGUAGGGUGCGAGCGUUAAUCGGAAUUACUGGGCGUAAAGCGUGCGCAGGCGGUUAUAUAAGACAGAUGUGAAAUCCCCGGGCUCAACCUGGGACCUGCAUUUGUGACUGUAUAGCUAGAGUACGGUAGAGGGGGAUGGAAUUCCGCGUGUAGCAGUGAAAUGCGUAGAUAUGCGGAGGAACACCGAUGUCGAAGGCAAUCCCCUGGACCUGUACUGACGCUCAUGCACGAAAGCGUGGGGAGCAAACAGGAUUAGAUACCCGUGUAGUCCCUGUCUCUUAUAC